This is a small nucleolar RNA of Zingiber officinale, 83 nucleotides long. RefSeq annotates it as small nucleolar RNA U83. The transcript has a single exon. The record is from RefSeq and is a predicted model, not a curated record. Lineage: Eukaryota; Viridiplantae; Streptophyta; Magnoliopsida; Zingiberales; Zingiberaceae.
AGUCCCUGAUGAGGAUUGUGGAUAUUAAUCUGUUUGCUGAGAUUUUGUGAUUACGCAAACACUACUGCCUUCCUUCUGAGACU